GACGAACGCUGGCGGCGUGCUUAACACAUGCAAGUCGAACGGAAAGGCCCUGCUUUGGUGGGGUGCUCGAGUGGCGAACGGGUGAGUAACACGUGAGUAACCUGCCCUUUACUUUGGGAUAACGUCAGGAAACUGGGGCUAAUACCGGAUAGGAGCUCCUGCUGCAUGGUGUGGGGUGGAAAGUUUCGGCGGUUGGGGAUGGACUCGCGGCUUAGCAGCUUGUUGGUGGGGUAGUGGCUUACCAGGGGUUUGACGGGUAGCCGGCCGGAGAGGGUGACCGGCCACAUUGGGACUGAGGUACGGCCCAGACUCCUACGGGAGGCAGCAGUGGGGAAUAUUGCACAAUGGGCGGAAGCCUGAUGCAGAAACGCCGGGUGCGGGAUGACGGCCUUCGGGUUGUAAACCGCUUUCGCCUGUGACGAAGCGUGAGUGACGGUAAUGGGUAAAGAAGCACCGGCUAACUACGUG
This 468-nucleotide ribosomal RNA is filed under the name uncultured bacterium. RNAcentral describes it as "partial 16S ribosomal RNA". It matches the Rfam family "Bacterial small subunit ribosomal RNA", at positions 28 to 507 of the family's 1533-position model. The record is from RNAcentral.